AGGAAUGAAGGCCCUCUCUUUGGGUGAUUAGCCUUUGCUUAUGCAAAGAUGAAUCUACAAAGGUACAAUUUCAACUCACUUUGUUUUUAGUUGAGUCUUGGUUCACCAAUCUACUAGGCUUUGAAUUUCAUGGUUAAUGUUUUGUUUUUAAGUGCAUACAAGCAUGAUUCCGCCUUUAAUUGUUAAUUGCAUGCUUAUAGAUGUUGCUUAAAUGAACAUGUUUUCACAAAAUAUUCCUUCAGGUUGUGCUUGGGGUUGAGUUGGUGCAAACGGCUUUUGAUACAAACCCGAGGGUUGUUGCCUAAAUGUACUUUGUUGUUGGCCUUGUUGGGGUUCUCACCAUUUGAAAUUUGGAUGAUCCCUCCAUCCCGGAUUGUAUGUAUUAGAAAAGGGAUCAUUUAUUUGUUGGUAUGGCUGCCCAAAACCCACGUCAUUGAGGGUCUCCCACCUUCCAUUCUCUAUCAAUUAUGGGCACUUGUCCGUAAGGUGUCCAUGCAUGGAGCACACGCCACAAGUACUUACAUUUUGUAUUUUUGGUCCUUCCACAACCUAAGAAAGAAGAGUAGUAAGGUUAGCCAUUUGAUUUUGAAGUUCGGAGAUGGCACUUACCUCAUUCACUUGGUUUUGCCGUGAGGUGCUCCUUUGUCCAACACCUUCGUACUGUUGAGCAUUCAACGCGAUUCGCAAUCAAUGUCUUUGCAGCCAUGGGAGUCUUGUCCACGAAAGCUCAUCCCGCUGAGGCAUCUAGCAUUUGACGUUCGAUUGGUAGAAGCCCCUCGUAGAAGUAUUGUAGAAGAAGCUCUUCCUUCAUUUGAUGUUGUGGACAAGACGCAACAAGAGAUUUAAAACGUUCAUAAUAAGUAGGAAAAGAUUCACCUUCAUCUUGUUGAAUUCCACUUAUCCUUUUUCGUAAAAGAAUAACUCGAGAAGUUGGGAAAAACUUCUCCAAGAAAGCCCGUUUCAUGCUCUCCCAAGAUGUGACAGUUCCAGGAGCUAAUUCAUACAACCAAUCUUUUGCCUUUUCCAAGAGAGAAAAGGGAAAGGCCUUCAUCUUCAAUAUGCUCCCAUCGACGUUGAUUGGAGUCAUGCUUAAACACACCACCUCGAAUUGUUUCAAGUGCUUGUUAGGAUCCUCCAUGGACAACCUGUUAGGAGUAUUAAGAUCCAAUGGGUAGGAAAUGGACAAGUGUCAAAAGAUCAUGAAGAUAGUUAAGUUGGUUAUAUUGUUACUUAGAGUGUAAGCUACAAAGUGUUAGGAUAUAUAGCUUGUAACAAUUCAUUGUAACUGAUAAGAAAAGAAAUAACAGUUCUCAACAGUUUUCUCUCUCUAAUAUCUUCGACAUUCUUUUUCUCUCUCUAUCUCUUUCUUCCUUCUUGCUUCUGUAUAAUUCUUUCCUUAGAUAAUCUCAGAUGGUUUACAUGGUAUCAUCGCCGGAACAAGCAUAAAAGCUUGACGGAUUUGUCGAUCUUGGUUUUCAUUGCUUCCGCUAUUGUGAUUGGUUUCUGGUUCAUUAGUAUAUUGUGAUUGGAUUUGAUUCGUUUAUGAUAUUUGGGGUAUUUUCUCUGUACUCCUCCGUCCGGUUCUUCAAUCUUCCGAACGUGCCUACCAACUGUUUGUGGUUUGGUUUCUGUCAAGAUUUCGUGUGAUUUCUUUACAAUUUGCAACAAUGGUGACAACUGCUUAGUUACAGAUCUUACAAUCUCCAAUUACUUCUUUGAUUACAUCUAUUUCCAGUUCGGUUAAUGUGAAAUUGGAUGAGACGAACUAUUUAGCUUGGCAUUUCCAAAUGCAGCUCUUGCUUGAAGGUCAUAGCAUAAUUGGUUUUGUUGAUGGUUCAAUGUCCUGUCCUGCUCAAUUCAGUCACGAUUCCUCUGAUGGUUCAGCAAUUUUGUCUGGUGAUUCUUCUACAAGGGUUCCGACUGAUGAUUACAAGAUAUGGAAGAUGCAUGAUAAAGCGUUGAUGCAAUUAAUUACUGCAACCUUGUCUCCUGCUGCAGUUUCUUGUGUAAUUGGAAGUACUAGUUUUAAAGAACUGUGGAAUCGCCUCAAAGACCAGUUUUCUACAGUCACAAGAACAAGUAUCUUUCAACUCAAAUCUAAGCUUCAGACAAUUAAGAAGGGUAAUGAUUCUGUCACAUUAUAUUUGCAGAAAAUUAAAGAAGCAAGAGAUUUAUUGUCUGCUACUGGUGUAUUUUUUGAUGAUGACGACAUUGUGAUUCUUACGUUAAAUGGGCUGCCUACUGAAUUCAAUACCAUCAGAUCUGUGAUUAGGGGCCGUGAAACUGUGAUAUCACUGAAAGAUCUUCGAUCUCAAUUACUUGCUGAAGAAAAUUUACUUGAGAAAGACUCUAAUUCACCUGUGUUAUCUACAUUUAUGGCACAAAGCAAUAGUUUUCCUUCCAAGAAUCAGUCUUUCUCUGGUUCUGGUACUACUCAUAGCAGUUCUAAUUCUACUGGCUACAAGGCAUUCAACUACAACAAUAAGGGUAGAAAUCGGUUCAAUUCCAACUUUACUCCGAAGUUUGGUAACAACAAAAUUUUUCAACCGAACCAUGCUCCUGGAAUUCUUGGUACAUCUCCACCAAGGGCUCAAAACUAUGGUGUUCACAAUCAACCAUGUCAGAUUUGUGGGAAGAGUAAUCAUUUGGCUUCUACUUGUCAGUUUCGGAAUACAAACACCUUUCAAGGCUGUCAAAUUUGUGGUAAAACAAUCACUUUGCUGAUACCUGCAGAUAUAGGAAUGCAGUUGCUUCUUCAAGCUGUUAGAUUUGUGGCAAUCCUUAUCAUACUGCAGAAACUUGUUUUUAAAAGAAUUCUAAUUCACUAAUGAAUGCAAUGCAUGCUGCUACUUCUCCUUUUUCAGUACCACCUGCACCUACACAGCAACAAGUUUGGCUUACUGAUUCAGGUGCAAAUAAUCAUAUGACUUCCGAGUUGAGCAAUCUUUCCUUAGCUACUACAUAUCCUGCAAAUGAAGUAAUCCAGACCGCUAAUGGUGAAGGUUUAGCUAUCUCUCACAUUGGUUUCUCUCUCUUAUCAACUUCAAUGCAGCCUAUAAAGCUCAAUUAUGUCUUAUAUGUUUCGAAACUAUCACAAAACUUGUUGUCUGUACAUAGAAUCUGUUUGGAUAACAACUGCUAGUUGAUCUUCGAUGCUUUUUCUUUUUGGAUUCAGGACAAAACCACAUGGAGGAUUCUCUACAAAGGGCUGUGUAACAAUAGAUUGUAUCCCAUCAUCUCAUCAUGUUCUCCUCCAGUCAACAAUAAAGGACAACCUGUAGCUUUUCUUGGCAAACAAGUCACUGUCAGUAUUUGGCAUAAGAGGCUUGGUCACCCGUCCAAUCAAAUAGUUUCUCAGAUGUUAAGCACUUCCAAAAUUCCUUGUGUUGCUGAUAGUACUCUUUCUCUGUGUCAAACCUGUCUAGAGGGCAAGUUUAGUAAACUUCCUUUCUCUCCCUUAGUUCCAAAGUCUGUAAACCCAUUUGGUAUUGUUCAUAGUGACGUGUAGGGCCCUGCUCCUUGUGUGUCUUUAGAGGGAUUCAAGUAUUAUGUGACUUUCAUUGAUCAUUGUACCAAGUACUGUUGGAUUUUUCCAAUCUGCAAUAAAAGUGAUGUCUUCCCAACUUUUGUGUCCUUCUACAAUUUUAUUUUCAAUCAGUUUCAUACAUCCAUAAAAGUUCUUCAAAGUGAUGGUGGUGGUGAGUAUACAAGUAAGGCAUUUCAACAGUUUCUUCUUGAUAAAGGAGUCAGUCACCAGAUGUCAUGCCCUUAUACACCAGAACAAAAUGGCACUGCAGAGAGAAAACAUAGACACAUAAUUGAAACAUCCAUUACCCUAUUACAAACUGCUUCUUUACCAUCUCUGUUUUGGUCCUUUGCCUGUCAAACAUCAGUAUAUUUGAUUAAUAGAAUGCCUUCAUCCACAUUAAAUCAUAAAUCACCAUUUCAGUUGCUGCAUAAUACUCUCCCUGAGAUCCAACACUUGAAAGUUUUUGGGUGUUCAUGUUAUCCUUGGUUAAGACCAUACACUAGCACAAAACUCGAACCUAGAACAACAAAAUGUGUAUUCUUAGGCUAUGCUUCUAAGUAUAAAGGGUUUCUCUGCUAUGAUGUGUCUAGAAAGAAAGUUUAUGUGUCAAGACAUGUGAUUUUUUAUGAAACUGAUUUUCCUUACAAAUCCUUGGUUCUCAAAUAUCAAUCGAUUACUUCUGCACCAUUACCAUCCCUCAUUCCAUCACCUAUUCCAAUACCUAAUCAAAAUAGUGUGCUUGUCUUACCACCAACUCAGAAUCCUUCCACCUUUGGUCAAUCCCUUGAUUCUCCUGAACACCUAAGUUCCGAUACUACAAUGAGUCCUCUGUCAAAUACUGAUAUGCAUCAAGUCUCUCCUGAGCUCCAGUCCAUACCAGAGGCAACUACAAGUUCACACUCCGCAGAAUCAGUAUCUAAUCAAUCCAUUGGUGCAGCAGUUACACAGCCCUUACCUCCUACACUUCAUGUGGUCCCUGAAUUUCGACCUGAACACUUACAAGUGGUUCUAUCUAUCCCACCAAUGAAUCUCCACCUUAUGCAGACACGGUCAAAGAGUGGUAUCUCCAAGAAAAUUGCUCUUUUAGCUGUUAUACAUGAACAUGGAGGGGUUGAUCUGAAUCAAGUUGAGCCUGCCACAUAUAAGUCUACAUUAAAGUUCCUGGUAUGGCAUGAAGCUAUGAAAGAUGAGAUUUUAGCAUUGCAUCAUCAAGGUACAUGGUCUCUGGUACCUCUACCAAGACAUAAAAACUUAGUAGGAUGUAAAUGGGUCUUUAAGAUCAAAAAGAAUGCUGAUGGUUCUAUUGGGAGGUAUAAGGCUCGCCUAGUAGCUAAAGGGUUUAAUCAAGAAGAAGGUAUUGAUUUUGGGGAAACCUUUAGUCCGGUUGCGAAGCCUACAACAGUAAGACUAGUUCUAGCUCUCUCUGCACAUUUUGGUUGGACAUUGCGGUAAUUAGAUGUGAAAAAUGCUUUUCUCCACGAUAUCUUGCAAGAGGAAGUAUACAUGACUCAACCACCUGGAUUUGUUGAUUUAAAGCAUGAAGAUUAUGUGUGCAGGUUGCAUAAAUCUUUAUAUAGAUUAAAACAGGCACCAAGGGCCUGGAAUGAUAGGUUUACUCGAUUUCUCCCAUCCUUGGGAUUCAAAUCCACAUAUGCAGAUUCUUCACUAUUUGUAAAGGUUGUUGACAGUUCUGUGGUGAUUUUACUCCUAUAUGUGGAUGACAUUAUUAUUACUGGUAGUGGCACAUAAGCAAUUACUGAGGUCAUUCAUUCCCUUACCCGAGAGUUUGAUAUUAAAGAUUUGGGACCCCUCCACUAUUUUCUGGGGAUUCAGAUUUUACAGAAGACGGAUGGUUUAUUUCUCUCUCAACACAAGUAUGUUACAGAUUUGCUAACUAAGGCUGAUAUGCUACUGUCUAAACCAUGUGCCACUCCCUGUUUGCCAUACAACAGAUUGCUCAAAGAUGAUGGCAAACCUUAUAAUAAUCCGGCCCUUUAUCGCAGUUUAGUUGGCGCUUUACAGUACCUCACAUUCACUCGACCUGACAUUGCCUUUGCAGUGCAUCAGGUUUGUCAGUUUAUGCAAAAUCCUAUGGAGUCACAUUUCAUGGCAGUGAAACGAAUUUUUAGGUACUUAAAAGCUACUCAAGGUUGUGGCAUUCAUUAUGUCAAGAGUUCACUGGAUAUUACUGCAUAUAGUGAUGCAGAUUGGGCUAGGGAUCCUAAUGAUAGGCGAUCGACUACUGGAAUGGUUGUAUUUUUGGGAUCUAAUCCUAUUUCAUGGUCAUCUAAGAAGCAACAAACUGUUUCUCGCUCAUCCACAGAAGCUGAGUAUCGGGCUUUAUCUACUACAACUGCUGAACUUGAUUGGAUUCACCAAUUGUUACAUUUUCUGCAGGUUCCAGUUGUCGAAAAGCCAAUUCUCUUCUGUGACAACCUAUCUGCUAUCGCACUGACCUUAAAUCCUGUUCAGCAUCAACGUACAAAACACAUAGAAGUUGAAGUACAUUUUGUUCGCGAGCGGGUAGCAAAACAGCAACUGCAGGUGCAUUUUGUCUCUUCCACCGAGCACUUUGUUGAUAUACUUACCAAAGGCUUAUCUGCUCCUCUUUUUCAAACUCAUUGUGCCAAUCUCAGGCUCACAUUCUCUGCCCCUGAGCUUGUGGGGGGAUGUUAGGAGUAUUAAGAUCCAAUAGGUAGGAAAUGGACAAGUGUCAAAAGAUCAUGAAGAUAGUUAAGUUGGUUAUAUUGUUACUUAGAGUGUAAGCUACAAAGUGUUAGGAUAUAUAGCUUGUAACAAUUCAUUGUAACUGAUAAGAAAAGAAUAACAGUUUUCUCUCUCUAAUAUCUUCGACAUUCUUCUUCUCUCUCUAUCUCUUUCUUCCUUCUUGCUUCUGUAUAAUUAUUUCCUUAGAUAAUCUCAGAUGGUUUACACAACCCAUGGUACUUCGGAAUGUGGUGUAGCAAACUUGACUUCAACUCGAAUUCCUCGGUCUUUCCUUGGGCAGCCGCGGGAUAUUGAAUACAUAAGGGUGCGGCACUGUCCAAUCCCGAAGCCAAAAGCUCCUUGAUUGUACGAUUGUCUUGUGCCAUGACUUCCUUUACUUCACCCACUAUUGUCGUGGGUUCCUCUUCUUCAACCUCAACUUCGGCUUCUGAAUUUGAACUUGAUUCACUAGGUUCUGGAUUCUUCCUUUUUCGUCUCAAUUCUCGCUCGAAAUCGUCGUCAAAGUCCAAGAUGUGUUCACGAAUCGGAUGAGAACUUUGAGUCAUAAACUAGUAGCUAAAACAAGAAACAAAAACAAGGUCAGAAUCUGGACAAUUUAAAUAAACUGAAAUAAAACAAUCCAAGGGAUUAGCAACGUUGCUAAUCCCCAGCAACAGCGCCAAAAAAUUUGAUGCACAAUAUAUAAGCACACAAAUUAAACCCUCUUUUUAUCAAUUGUAGCAAAGUAUGUAAGUAGGGAUCGUUCUAGGCCGGGGAUUAUGAGGGAUUGCUAAAUCACUUGAAAACUAACUCAAAACGUAAAAACAAAGUUUAAAACACUAAACUAGACUCAAAGAAUGUAAAACUAAACUCUAAAACACUAAAACAAACCAAAAGACUCAAAACAGCACAGAAACACUCCAAACUGCCUUAAAAACACAAUCUGGGCAGUUUUGAACACCAAACACAAAUUUGGACGAAAAUAGGUUAGAACUUGACUCAAGACACACUACAAAAAAAAAGCCCUUUUGGGAUAGUCAAAACGUGUCGCAAAAACAGCAAAAAGCGUCGCAACAAGC
RNAcentral lists this long non-coding RNA (7314 nucleotides) under Malus domestica (apple). Its description in RNAcentral is "long non-coding RNA (MDOM_LNC014063)". The record is from RNAcentral. Lineage: Eukaryota; Viridiplantae; Streptophyta; Magnoliopsida; Rosales; Rosaceae.